CGGGGCUUAGUGCCGGAGCUAACGCAAUAAGCACUCCGCCUGGGGAGUACGACCGCAAGGUUGAAACUCAAAGGAAUUGACGGGGGCCCGCACAAGCGGUGGAGCAUGUGGUUUAAUUCGAAGCAACGCGAAGAACCUUACCAGGUCUUGACAUCCCGAUGCUAUUCUUAGAGAUAGGAAGUUACUUCGGUACAUCGGAGACAGGUGGUGCAUGGUUGUCGUCAGCUCGUGUCGUGAGAUGUUGGGUUAAGUCCCGCAACGAGCGCAACCCUUAUUGUUAGUUGCCAUCAUUAAGUUGGGCACUCUAGCGAGACUGCCGGUAAUAAACCGGAGGAAGGUGGGGAUGACGUCAAAUCAUCAUGCCCCUUAUGACCUGGGCUACACACGUGCUACAAUGGUCGGUACAACGAGUUGCGAGCCGGUGACGGCAAGCUAAUCUCUGAAAGCCGAUCUCAGUUCGGAUUGGAGGCUGCAACUCGCCUCCAUGAAGUCGGAAUCGCUAGUAAUCGCGGAUCAGCACGCCGCGGUGAAUACGUUCCCGGGCCUUGUACACACCGCCCGUCACACCACGAGAGUUUGUAACACCCGAAGU
This 592-nucleotide ribosomal RNA is filed under the name uncultured bacterium. RNAcentral's name for it is "bacterial SSU rRNA". It matches the Rfam family "Bacterial small subunit ribosomal RNA", at positions 834 to 1427 of the family's 1533-position model. The record is from RNAcentral.